UACGUAGGGGGCGAGCGUUGUCCGGAUUUAUUGGGCGUAAAGGGUGCGUAGGCGGCCUUGUAAGUCAGAUGUGAAAUCUCACGGCUUAACCGUGGUAAGCAUUUGAAACUGUGAGGCUUGAGUACAGGAGAGGAGAGUGGAAUUCCUAGUGUAGCGGUGAAAUGCGUAGAUAUUAGGAGGAAUACCAGUGGCGAAGGCGACUCUCUGGACUGUAACUGACGCUGAGGCACGAAAGCGUGGGGAGCAAACAGGAUUAGAUACCCUGGUAGUCCACGCCGUAAACGAUGAGUGCUAGGUGUCGGGGGUCAAACCUCGGUGCCGCAGUUAACACAUUAAGCACUCCGCCUGGGGAGUACGGUGGCAACACUGAA
Molecule: ribosomal RNA, 371 nt
Filed under: uncultured bacterium
Lineage: Bacteria
Description: bacterial SSU rRNA
Rfam family: Bacterial small subunit ribosomal RNA
Source: RNAcentral